This 245-nucleotide ribosomal RNA is filed under the name uncultured bacterium. RNAcentral's name for it is "partial 16S ribosomal RNA". It matches the Rfam family "Bacterial small subunit ribosomal RNA", at positions 527 to 772 of the family's 1533-position model. The record is from RNAcentral.
GUAGGGAGCGAGCGUUGUCCGGAAUUACUGGGUGUAAAGGGAGCGUAGGCGGGGAUGCAAGUUGGAUGUUUAAACUAUCGGCUCAACCGGUAAUUGCAACCAAAACUGCAACUCUUGAGUGAAGUAGAGGCAGGCGGAAUUCCUAGUGUAGCGGUGAAAUGCGUAGAUAUUAGGAGGAACACCAGUGGCGAAGGCGGCCUGCUGGGCUUUAACUGACGCUGAGGCUCGAAAGCGUGGGGAGCAAA